AGAGUUUGAUCCUGGCUCAGGAUGAACGCUAGCGGCAGGCUUAACACAUGCAAGUCGAGGGGCAGCAUAAUGGAUAGCAAUAUCUAUGGUGGCGACCGGCGCACGGGUGCGUAACGCGUAUGCAACCUACCUUUAACAGGGGGAUAACACUGAGAAAUUGGUACUAAUACCCCAUAAUAUCAUAGAAGGCAUCUUUUAUGGUUGAAAAUUCCGAUGGUUAGAGAUGGGCAUGCGUUGUAUUAGCUAGUUGGUGGGGUAACGGCUCACCAAGGCGACGAUACAUAGGGGGACUGAGAGGUUAACCCCCCACACUGGUACUGAGACACGGACCAGACUCCUACGGGAGGCAGCAGUGAGGAAUAUUGGUCAAUGGACGCAAGUCUGAACCAGCCAUGCCGCGUGCAGGAAGACGGCUCUAUGAGUUGUAAACUGCUUUUGUACGAGAGUAAACGCUCUUACGUGUAAGAGCCUGAAAGUAUCGUACGAAUAAGGAUCGGCUAACUCCGUGCCAGCAGCCGCGGUAAUACGGAGGAUCCAAGCGUUAUCCGGAUUUAUUGGGUUUAAAGGGUGCGUAGGCGGUUUGAUAAGUUAGAGGUGAAAUACCGGUGCUUAACACCGGAACUGCCUCUAAUACUGUUGAACUAGAGAGUAGUUGCGGUAGGCGGAAUGUAUGGUGUAGCGGUGAAAUGCUUAGAGAUCAUACAGAACACCGAUUGCGAAGGCAGCUUACCAAACUAUAUCUGACGUUGAGGCACGAAAGCGUGGGGAGCAAACAGGAUUAGAUACCCUGGUAGUCCACGCAGUAAACGAUGAUAACUC
This 819-nucleotide ribosomal RNA is filed under the name gut metagenome. Its description in RNAcentral is "bacterial SSU rRNA". It matches the Rfam family "Bacterial small subunit ribosomal RNA", at positions 8 to 818 of the family's 1533-position model. The record is from RNAcentral.